CCUCUCACCUGCUCUGUUCGGCCGGACUUUGCCCUUUACCAGCUUCCUCCACAGCUAACGGAGCCACACUUCCACUCCUUGUCAGCUGUUCAUCUUCCUCCUUGGAUUCAGACUCUGACAGGGGCGUGACA
Non-coding RNA from Pseudonaja textilis, 131 nucleotides. The record is from RefSeq and is a predicted model, not a curated record. NCBI's taxonomy places the organism in Eukaryota, Metazoa, Chordata, Lepidosauria, Squamata, Elapidae.